ACCUGUUGUGGUGGAUGUCUUGGCCCAGGUUCUGAGGAAGGACACAGCAGCCUUGCGAUACGUUCGGUGAUACGCAGAGUCUUGUGAUCUGGACAAAGGAACAGCUUCGAACGCAACUGGCCAGCAAGGGGUUCCCCCCCGAGCUGCCUGUGCGCCAGUGUUG
This 163-nucleotide ribosomal RNA is filed under the name Euglena gracilis. RNAcentral's name for it is "5.8S ribosomal RNA from Euglena gracilis (PDB 6ZJ3, chain LA)". It matches the Rfam family "5.8S ribosomal RNA". From Rfam's summary of the family: 5.8S ribosomal RNA (5.8S rRNA) is a component of the large subunit of the eukaryotic ribosome. It is transcribed by RNA polymerase I as part of the 45S precursor that also contains 18S and 28S rRNA. Lineage: Eukaryota; Euglenozoa; Euglenophyceae; Euglenales; Euglenaceae. The record is from Rfam by way of RNAcentral.